UUUAAAGAGAGUUUGAUCCUGGCUCAGGACGAACGCUGGCGGCGUGCCUAAUACAUGCAAGUCGAACGAACGGAGGAAGAGCUUGCUCUUCCAAUGUUAGUGGCGGACGGGUGAGUAACACGUGGGCAACCU
Molecule: ribosomal RNA, 132 nt
Filed under: Listeria monocytogenes
Lineage: Bacteria; Bacillati; Bacillota; Bacilli; Caryophanales; Listeriaceae
Also listed under: 1 other name
Description: partial 16S ribosomal RNA
Rfam family: Bacterial small subunit ribosomal RNA
Source: RNAcentral